Molecule: ribosomal RNA, 3013 nt
Filed under: Deltaproteobacteria bacterium
Lineage: Bacteria; Pseudomonadati; Myxococcota; Myxococcia
Description: 23S ribosomal RNA
Rfam family: Bacterial large subunit ribosomal RNA
Source: RNAcentral
GGUCAAGCUACUAAGGGCGUAUGGUGGAUGCCUUGGUACUGAGAGGCGAUGAAGGACGUGGCCGGCUGCGAUAAGCCUCGGGGAGCCGCUAAACAGGCUUUGAUCCGGGGAUUUCCGAAUGGGGAAACCUACCUGGGGUCAUGCUCAGGUAUCCAUGCCUGAAUACAUAGGGUAUGGAGGCGAACGCAGGGAAUUGAAACAUCUAAGUACCUGCAGGAAGAGAAAUCAAGCGAGAUUCCCAAAGUAGUGGCGAGCGAAAUGGGAAGAGCCCAAACCAGUUGCGUGUAAGCCCGCAGGCGUUGCGUAUCUGGGGUUGUGGGUUCAGUCCGGAGAGUUCUGCGGAGCUCUCGGGGAGUUACAAAGUGUCUAUAUAGGAGAAUGUUCUGGAAAGAACAGCCAUAGCAGGUGACAGCCCUGUAUCCGAAAUGUAGGCGCCUCCCUGGGACUGUUCCCGAGUAGCGCGGGGCACGUGGAACCCUGCGUGAAUCUGGGAGGACCAUCUCCCAAGGCUAAAUACUACUCAGUAACCGAUAGUGAACAAGUACCGUGAGGGAAAGGUGAAAAGCACCCCGGAGAGGGGAGUGAAAUAGUAUCUGAAACCGUAUGCCUACAUUCUGUGGAAGCCCCAUGUCGUACCUUCGGGUAUGACGGGGUGACUGCGUGCCUUUUGCAUAAUGAGUCAGCGAGUUAUUCUAUGCAGCAAGGUUAAGCCGUCAGGUGUAGCCGUAGCGAAAGCGAGUCUUAACAGGGCGUAUAGUUGCAUGGAAUAGACCCGAAGCCAAGUGAUCUAUCCAUGGCCAGGGUGAAAUCUCGGUAAAACGAGAUGGAGGCCCGAACCGGUUAAGGUUGAAAACUUUUCGGAUGAGCUGUGGAUAGGGGUGAAAGGCCAAUCAAACUUGGAGAUAGCUGGUUCUCCCCGAAAUAUAUUUAGGUAUAGCCUCAGGCGAUGAAUACCGGGGGUAGGGCUCUGGAUGGGCUAGGGGUCCGCGAGGAUUACCAACCCCAACCAAACUUCGAAUACUGGAUAUUCUAGUCUGGGAGUCAGCCUAUGGGAGAUAAGUUCCAUAGACGAAAGGGAAAGAACCCAGACCGCCAGCUAAGGUCCCAAAUAGAUGCUAAGUGGUAAAGGCGGUGGAAUUGCACAAACAACCAGGAUGUUGGCUUAGAAGCAGCCACCAUUUAAAGAAAGCGUAAUAGCUCACUGGUCGAGUGGUUCUGCGCCGAAAAUUUAACGGGGCUCAAGCAUCUAACCGAAGCUGCGGAUCUAGGCGUUAGCCUAUGAUGGUAGGGGAGCGUACCAGUAGCCGGUGAAGCCGUACCGAAAGGAGCGGUGAAGGCCCUGGUAGUGCUUAUGCUGACAUGAGUAGCGAAAAUUCAGGUGAGAAUCCUGAACGCCGAAAACCCAAGGUUUCCUGCGCAAGGUUGAUCCGCGCAGGGUUAGUCGGACCCUAAGCUGAGGCCGAUAGGCGUAGGCGAUGGCAAACAGGUUAAUAUUCCUGUACCACUGAUAGAGCGUUAUCAGCAAUGGGGGGACGCAGGAGGGUAUGCCGUGCCGGGCGUUGGUUGUCCCGGUUCAAGCCCGUAGGGAGGAUUUCCAGGCAAAUCCGGAGAUCCGUUAAUCCUGAGAGGUGAUGACGAGUUCAAUUCUGAGCGAAGCGGCAAAUCCCACACUGACAAGAAAAGCCUCUAGCGAGUUCUAUUGGUGUCCGUACUGUAAACCGACUCAGGUGGGUGGGGUGAGAAUCCUAAGGCGUUGAGUGAAACCUCGUUAAGGAACUCGGCAACUUGACACCGUAACUUCGGGAGAAGGUGUGCCCCCUUUGGUAAGAGAAUUCUCUUCUUCAGCCGAGGGGGGUCGCAGAGAAAUGGCCGGGGCGACUGUUUACUAAAAACAUAGGACUCUGCUAAAUCGCAAGAUGAUGUAUAGGGUCUGAUGCCUGCCCGGUGCUGGAAGGUUAAGGGGAUGCGUUAGCCUGUAUGGGCGAAGCGUUGAACCGAAGCCCCAGUAAACGGCGGCCGUAACUAUAACGGUCCUAAGGUAGCGAAAUUCCUUGUCGGGUAAGUUCCGACCUGCACGAAUGGCAUAACGAUCUCGGCGGUGUCUCAACGAGGGGCUCAGUGAAAUUGCAGUGCCAGUGAAGAUACUGGCAACCCGCGGAAGGACGGAAAGACCCCGUGGACCUUUACUAUAACUUGACAGUGUAUCUUGGGUAGGUCUGUGUAGGAUAGGUGGGAGACUUUGAAGCCGGGACGCUAGUUUCGGUGGAGUCGACCUUGAAAUACCACCCUGAUCUGCUCGGGAUACUAACCUGCUCCCGUUAUCCGGGAGAGGGACACUGUCUGGUGGGUAGUUUGACUGGGGCGGUCGCCUCCCAAAAUGUAACGGAGGCGCGCAAUGGUUCCCUCAGGCUGAUUGGAAACCAGCCGUCGAGUGUAAAGGCAUAAGGGAGCCUGACUGCGAGAGGGACACCUCAAGCAGGUGCGAAAGCAGGUCUUAGUGAUCCGGUGGUUCCGAAUGGAAGGGCCAUCGCUCAACGGAUAAAAGGUACCCCGGGGAUAACAGGCUUAUCUCCCCCAAGAGUUCACAUCGACGGGGAGGUUUGGCACCUCGAUGUCGGCUCAUCGCAUCCUGGGGCUGGAGCAGGUCCCAAGGGUAUGGCUGUUCGCCAUUUAAAGCGGUACGCGAGCUGGGUUUAGAACGUCGUGAGACAGUUCGGUCCCUAUCCUCCGUGGGCGGAGGAGAUUUGAGAGAAGCUGUCCCUAGUACGAGAGGACCGGGAUGGACGAACCUCUGGUGCUCCUGUUGUCGUGCCAACGGCAUAGCAGGGUAGCUACGUUCGGAACGGAUAACCGCUGAAAGCAUCUAAGUGGGAAGCCGUUCUCAAGAUUAGAUCUCCCUUCCGCUUCGUGCGGACUGAAGGCCUCCUGAAGACUACAGGAUUGAUAGGCUGGGUGUGUAAGCGCAGCAAUGCGUUGAGCUAACCAGUACUAAUCGGCCGUGAGGCUUGACCCA